Molecule: non-coding RNA, 90 nt
Organism: Acanthosepion pharaonis
Lineage: Eukaryota; Metazoa; Mollusca; Cephalopoda; Sepiida; Sepiidae
Source: the annotation of a GenBank genome assembly
CCCCACCCCGUACAAUCAGGAAAGUUAAGCAAAGUCGAGCUUGGUCAGUACUUAGAUGGGUGACCGCUUGAGAAUAUCGGGUUCUGUAAG